GUAGGUGGCAAGCGUUGUCCGGAAUUAUUGGGCGUAAAGCGCGCGCAGGCGGUUCUUUAAGUCUGAUGUGAAAGCCCACGGCUCAACCGUGGAGGGUCAUUGGAAACUGGAGAACUUGAGUACAGAAGAGGAAAGCGGAAUUCCACGUGUAGCGGUGAAAUGCGUAGAGAUGUGGAGGAACACCAGUGGCGAAGGCGGCUUUCUGGUCUGUAACUGACGCUGAGGCGCGAAAGCGUGGGGAGCAAACAGGAUUAGAUACCCUGGUAGUCCACGCCGUAAACGAUGGGUGCUAAGUGUUAGGGGGUUUCCGCCCCCUUAGUGCUGCAGCUAACGCAUUAAGCACUCCGCCUGGGGAGUACGGCCGCAAGGCUG
This 372-nucleotide ribosomal RNA is filed under the name uncultured organism. RNAcentral describes it as "partial 16S ribosomal RNA". It matches the Rfam family "Bacterial small subunit ribosomal RNA", at positions 527 to 896 of the family's 1533-position model. The record is from RNAcentral.